This 476-nucleotide ribosomal RNA is filed under the name bacterium BSD2-9-1. Its description in RNAcentral is "bacterial SSU rRNA". It matches the Rfam family "Bacterial small subunit ribosomal RNA", at positions 58 to 514 of the family's 1533-position model. The record is from RNAcentral.
CAAGUCGAGCGGAACGAGUUAUCUGAACCUUCGGGGGACGAUAACGGCGUCGAGCGGCGGACGGGUGAGUAAUGCCUGGGAAAUUGCCCUGAUGUGGGGGAUAACCAUUGGAAACGAUGGCUAAUACCGCAUGAUGCCUUCGGGCCAAAGAGGGGGACCUUCGGGCCUCUCGCGUCAGGAUAUGCCUAGGUGGGAUUAGCUAGUUGGUGAGGUAAGGGCUCACCAAGGCGACGAUCCCUAGCUGGUCUGAGAGGAUGAUCAGCCACACUGGAACUGAGACACGGUCCAGACUCCUACGGGAGGCAGCAGUGGGGAAUAUUGCACAAUGGGCGCAAGCCUGAUGCAGCCAUGCCGCGUGUGUGAAGAAGGCCUUCGGGUUGUAAAGCACUUUCAGUCGUGAGGAAGGUAGUGUAGUUAAUAGCUGCAUUAUUUGACGUUAGCGGCAGAAGAAGCACCGGCUAACUCCGUGCCAGCAG